UAAGGUUAGAGCUCUUUUAGAAUUUGUCUGGCGGGCUUGGAAAGCCCCA
Molecule: non-coding RNA, 49 nt
Organism: Gorilla gorilla gorilla (western lowland gorilla)
Lineage: Eukaryota; Metazoa; Chordata; Mammalia; Primates; Hominidae
Rfam family: U7 small nuclear RNA
About the family: Animal histone pre-mRNAs are spliced by a different mechanism than nuclear pre-mRNAs and self-splicing introns. This processing involves the U7 snRNP, which contains only one RNA species: U7. The 5' end of U7 RNA is thought to base-pair to a conserved spacer element downstream of the cleavage site in histone pre-mRNA.
Source: Rfam